RNAcentral lists this long non-coding RNA (494 nucleotides) under Coccomyxa subellipsoidea. RNAcentral describes it as "long non-coding RNA (CSUB_LNC000126)". The record is from RNAcentral. Lineage: Eukaryota; Viridiplantae; Chlorophyta; Trebouxiophyceae; Coccomyxaceae.
UGAGGUCAGCUCUAGCAGCCGCCACGUCCGCCUCGGCCUGCCUGGUCCUUGCUUCGGCUGCGCUGAUGCGCUCGGCCGCCUGCCGCUCUGCUUCCUUGGUGCUGCCAUUUGACACCGCGCCGUUGCUCUGGCUCAAGCGAUGCUGCAAGUCCUCCAACGCCCUGUGACAGUAGUUGCUGCUCACUCAAGAAAUCGCAAGGCAUAAUUUACAGGGCUUGACAACAAUAUGUGUACUAUAUAUAACUAUAAUACUGUAUAAUAUGUCAGAGCGAGCAGCGUCUGCAAAGACCAUUCAAGGCACUUCCAGGAAGGUUGCAGGUAGGAGGUUCACCUCUGCUGCUCUGCAAUCCGGGCCUUGGCGCUCUGUAGCUCAUCUGAGUCCACUGCACCUUGGGGGUCCGGUGACUCGCCGGACGGCCGCCUGAGGCCAUCCAUGGACACCUUGUGCACCUCCUCAAUGCAGCCCGGCAGCCACUGCGCAAACUCCUGAUCAA